Molecule: long non-coding RNA, 1881 nt
Organism: Spinacia oleracea (spinach)
Lineage: Eukaryota; Viridiplantae; Streptophyta; Magnoliopsida; Caryophyllales; Amaranthaceae
Exons: 8
Source: RefSeq, a predicted model, not a curated record
UUCCAAAAAUUUCAAAACACGCGCCCUUCCAUGGUUCCCAAAUUUUUUAAACAAAAAAAGUAAAACAAAAAUUAGAAAAAACACAAACAAUUUCCUGGUUCAUUACUCCACCGAAGAAACAGAGAGGAGAGAGACUGAGAGCGUUUACAAAGUUAGGGUUUCGAAGGAUCGAAGGAUUUGAUCUGCAAUUCACAAUUUGGUCCGAACCAAUCGAAUUUCUUGCAAGUUCUAGCCAUUGGCUGCGAAAAUUCUCUCUCACGUCCCCGAAUUGAGUCACAGGGUUGAAUUGGGGAAACUUACGAGGGUAAUCGAACAAAUUACGAGUAAUGGUGUAGGGGGACAAUGCUGUGAUUCGAACAUGGGGUGAAAAGAGAACAGAGUUAAAGUUGAAAAAUCAUGUUGAGCUUGUUGAGCUUUUGGCGAUAGUAGAUACAAAGAAAGGCUCUAAUGUUGCUGGGGCUAGAGGUUUUUACUUGAAAGGCGAUGGUGUGCUUCUAAAUCAAGCUCUUUGAAGAGCUUAGAUAGGAAUAAAUUGCUUUUGUAUUUAUGAGAUCUGGUGGGGAAGAGGUCAGAGCCAUUCAGAGGAGGAGGAGAACUCAGCGGGCUAUAUAUGGAAGGGUAUUUCAUAUAUAGAGAUAUUGAAUCUAACUGUGCAACCCUCCACAGUCUCUACCAAGCAAAAACCAUUAACGAGUUGCCUACCUUCUGAUCCAGCUCAUAGUAAACUUCCAUUUUAUUUAGGGGUUUCAUAUCAAGGUCGAUGAAAAAUGCCUGCAAGAGUGCGUAGAUCACAACUCACAAGGAACUUAGGGAAGAUAAUUGAAUACAGGUAGUUCUUGUUCUUCAGAUAGUUGAUGGUUCUUCCGCCGCUGUCGCAAUUUUAUCUCUCUAAUGUAUUCGCUAUCAAACCCUGCCGUUUAUCCGUCUUCUUCAAUCGUGGUCCACAAUUUUAUCUCUCUUAUAUGUUAUCUCUCUUAUAAUUAGGUCUUUCUUAUUAAUUCGAUGUGAUUUUUAUAGCAAUGUUUUUCUGAUUUCAGAUUUGGUGAGGAAGCUCUCUCCUUUUCAUCCAACUUUUCUGCAUUAACAACCUCAAAUUAGGUUUAUGAUAUUGUCUAAUUUCUUUAGGUUAGAUAUGUGAGACAUUUAAUUCAAUUAACGCAAAAUUAAACCAUUUUUUUUUGUUUUGGUUGUGGAUUGGCAUGGUCGAGGUUUGAUAUAUCGACCAAAAUUUGUGUUUUUCGGAUGCUCUAUUGCGCUUAAAUAAGGCAUCAAGUUCUUGAUAUUGCAGUGAACUCCUAUUGUGCAGUCACCCAACUUAUUUUAGCUAAUCUGCUAAAGAAGAACGAGAAAUUUACAGGGAGAGUGUAUGGGUCUUUCCCCUAAUUAACAUGCAAUUGAUGCAGGUGACAAACAAAAGACUGAAUAAGUCGCCCCUCACCUUCAUGUGUGAUAUAUGCUUUGCGUCGUUGUUAGUAUCACUACUUCUCAUCCACCAAAGGGGUUGCUGAGAAUAGAUAACGAAAAGCCCAAAUUAAGAGAUUUGUUGGGAGAGCUUUUCUCCUAGUCGGGUGCAGAUUACUCAAGUCUAAUAGGCUUUUGAUUACAAGUACCCUACAGAAUGACUUCUUACUAGGAGCAUGGUGAGCUAUAUGGAGGAGAAAUGUAGAUCUAGCAAUAUGAGACGGUGGGGGCUCUUGUUUGUUUUUGGGUCAUUUUGUGAUUUCUAGUAAUGUUGAAUUUCUUUCUAUGGAUUUAAAUUUUAUGUAACUUUUUCAUUAAAAACACUAAAUUAAUUAGUGAACAACUAUUUUGUACAUGUGUCCUAUGGGAACUAAUAUUGUAAUAUUACUCUUUAAGUCAAUGAAAAUCUUUUGUUAUUGA